Small nucleolar RNA from Dasypus novemcinctus (nine-banded armadillo), 132 nucleotides. The record is from Ensembl. Lineage: Eukaryota; Metazoa; Chordata; Mammalia; Cingulata; Dasypodidae.
AUGUAUCUCUGACAGCCCUGGAGCACUUAAUGUCUGCUGCUAAGGUUUCCAAUGUAGAUGCAAGAAAAAGAAGUCCUUGCGCUUUCUGUCUGUCUGGUUCUGGCAGCCAAGAUUGAAUGGGGGGAUACAGGA